UUAAUAAUACAUUUACUGGCAACAACAGGACUUUUAAGGUAGCCAGGGAACAUGGAGUUCAGAGUAAAAAUGUGACAUUUUGUGCUUCAUUGAAAGCUGCUCAGUCUAUUGCCAUGGCGACCUGGUAUUUACUGGACGGACUGUUUGGCAGCUACAGAACACAGCAGCAAGCAGAUGACAAGUUCAUAUGGAAGCUGUGGAUCACCAGCGGGGUGGACGCUAAGUGAGCUGCUUUGGAUGUCUCAACCAAAGCAAGCCCCUGUCAGAAAUGUGCCCACAGGCCCGGACACACAGACGUCCAGAAACAUGAAGACGGAGAAGUUAGAAAAGCUCAUUAAAAGUUGCACACAGACAAACAAAAAAAGCACCAGAGAGGAUGUAAAAACAGACACGACUGCAGUCGUAAAGCAGGUACAGUACAGUAUGUGCAUCAAGGCUGUAAAAUAUCCAGCUAUAAAAGAACUAUUGGUGAUAAGCCAGCACUUUUCAUUAAAUAGCCCCAGUGGACUAGCUAAAUGCAUUAGCAAAUAA
RNAcentral lists this long non-coding RNA (531 nucleotides) under Betta splendens (Siamese fighting fish). RNAcentral describes it as "lncRNA (ENSBSLG00000022536.1)". The record is from RNAcentral. Lineage: Eukaryota; Metazoa; Chordata; Actinopteri; Anabantiformes; Osphronemidae.